Triticum aestivum (bread wheat) is the source of this 1091-nucleotide long non-coding RNA. RefSeq lists it as uncharacterized. The transcript has 5 exons. NCBI's taxonomy places the organism in Eukaryota, Viridiplantae, Streptophyta, Magnoliopsida, Poales, Poaceae. The record is from RefSeq and is a predicted model, not a curated record.
UUCCUCUGUUUCGUUAUGGCCUUAUGGGACAGGAGGCCUCACCGGAGAACUCGCUGGAGUUUGCUUUAGGGUUGGGAGUUCGGAGAUCUCUGAAGGGAGGGUCGUCAGCGGAGGAUGAGGCUGCGGCGAAGAUUGCGGCGGCCAUCUUCGACCCGCCGCGGCCAUCGUGGCAGGUGGUCGGGGCAACAGGCUACAUCGCGAAUCCGGGCACAUUUCCGAACGAUUUCUGAUGAGAAGAUCCAAAACCAAGUGAGCUGUGAGAUUGCAACAUACCGAGUUGUCCAAUUUUCUGUCCACAAUGCAGGCUUGCUAGGUGAAACAAUGUAAUAAUGAACACUAACAAUUGGGUCUGGGGCAUCGUUUUGCUUGCACAUCAUCCAUGGAACACCUGUCUGGAGACCUACAGCCAUUUCAGCUGCCCAACGGACAUAACGCGGGCCACCUGAGCCAAAUGCAGGCUCAACCAUCUGGGUUCAUUGUCUGUUCGGAAGGUGAUGUUUGGAACAUCAUGUAGCCAAAAUGGAAACCCUCUGCAUGAACACAAGAUACCCAGCAUUUGUUCAGACAUAUUUAUGCAUGUUUUGAAUUGAAAAAGACACCUACCUGGCCCUGGACAGGCUCGUGAACAUUCCAAAAGACGUAUGUUUGUAUGACAUCGAGGCCACCCUUCCUGGCGUUCGCUAUGAGUUUUGGCCACAUCUGUCAAUUGAAAUACGCAAAAACUGAUUUGGUGAUGAAUCAGAAGAAGUAGCUCAUUAGAGAAUGCCAACAAGCUAGGAAGCAGUAUGGAAGUUCAGUUCAAACGUUGCCUAAUAUUUGACCUUUGUCUCAUCUCCGGAAGAGGAUCCACAUUUUUUCUACUCGAUAGAUACUUUGAAGAGUUGUCUCCCUCCCUCUACUUGUGCAAUUCUGCGGUCCAUUUAUUGCCUAGCACCCCUGAACUAUGAGGUAUGCCUCAAAAUUUUACCAGUGACUUUUUAGCCGUGCAAGUUUGAUAUUGGUUUACCAAGGGGAAUUAUUACAUGUAAAGCGAGUAAUGUUUUGCUGAGGAUGUCAGAGAUAGAUGAAAUGACAGCCGGAGGUAUUACUAA